This 497-nucleotide ribosomal RNA is filed under the name uncultured bacterium. RNAcentral's name for it is "partial 16S ribosomal RNA". It matches the Rfam family "Bacterial small subunit ribosomal RNA", at positions 28 to 507 of the family's 1533-position model. The record is from RNAcentral.
GAUGAACGCUGGCGGCGUGCCUAAUACAUGCAAGUCGAGCGAACAGACGAGGAGCUUGCUCCUCUGGCGUUAGCGGCGGACGGGUGAGUAACACGUGGAUAACCUACCUAUAAGACUGGGAUAACUUCGGGAAACCGGAGCUAAUACCGGAUAAUAUAUCGAACCGCAUGGUUCAAUAGUGAAAGACGGUUUUGCUGUCACUUAUAGAUGGAUCCGCGCCGCAUUAGCUAGUUGGUAAGGUAACGGCUUACCAAGGCAACGAUGCGUAGCCGACCUGAGAGGGUGAUCGGCCACACUGGAACUGAGACACGGUCCAGACUCCUACGGGAGGCAGCAGUAGGGAAUCUUCCGCAAUGGGCGAAAGCCUGACGGAGCAACGCCGCGUGAGUGAUGAAGGUCUUCGGAUCGUAAAACUCUGUUAUUAGGGAAGAACAAAUGUGUAAGUAACUAUGCACGUCUUGACGGUACCUAAUCAGAAAGCCACGGCUAACUACGUG